This 417-nucleotide ribosomal RNA is filed under the name Planomicrobium mcmeekinii. RNAcentral's name for it is "bacterial SSU rRNA". It matches the Rfam family "Bacterial small subunit ribosomal RNA", at positions 44 to 452 of the family's 1533-position model. Lineage: Bacteria; Bacillati; Bacillota; Bacilli; Caryophanales; Caryophanaceae. The record is from RNAcentral.
GGGGCUAAUACAUGCAAGUCGAGCGGAACCAAAAGAGCUUGCUCUUUUGGUUUAGCGGCGGACGGGUGAGUAACACGUGGGCAACCUGCCCUGCAGAUCGGGAUAACUCCGGGAAACCGGUGCUAAUACCGAAUAGUUUGCGUUCCUCCUGGAACGGUACGGAAAGACGGUUUCGGCUGUCACUGCAGGAUGGGCCCGCGGCGCAUUAGCUAGUUGGUGGGGUAAUGGCCCACCAAGGCGACGAUGCGUAGCCGACCUGAGAGGGUGAUCGGCCACACUGGGACUGAGACACGGCCCAGACUCCUACGGGAGGCAGCAGUAGGGAAUCUUCCGCAAUGGACGCAAGUCUGACGGAGCAACGCCGCGUGAGUGACGAAGGUUUUCGGAUCGUAAAACUCUGUUGUGAGGAAAAAACAA